Molecule: ribosomal RNA, 253 nt
Filed under: uncultured bacterium
Lineage: Bacteria
Description: partial 16S ribosomal RNA
Rfam family: Bacterial small subunit ribosomal RNA
Source: RNAcentral
UACGUAGGGUGCAAGCGUUGUCCGGAAUUAUUGGGCGUAAAGAGCUCGUAGGCGGUCUGUCACGUCGGCUGUGAAAACCCGAGGCUCAACCUCGGGCCUGCAGUCGAUACGGGCAGACUAGAGUUCGGUAGGGGAGACUGGAAUUCCUGGUGUAGCGGUGAAAUGCGCAGAUAUCAGGAGGAACACCGGUGGCGAAGGCGGGUCUCUGGGCCGAAACUGACGCUGAGGAGCGAAAGCGUGGGGAGCGAACAGG